Molecule: unclassified non-coding RNA, 1094 nt
Filed under: Athalia rosae (coleseed sawfly)
Lineage: Eukaryota; Metazoa; Arthropoda; Insecta; Hymenoptera; Athaliidae
Description: misc RNA ENSAEAG00005003083.1
Source: RNAcentral
CAGUCUCUUUUUUAUCGAUAGCUGAAAUGUGAGCACUUUGUCAACUUACCAGAUAAAUGAUAUAGGGUCCGAUGAUAUGUGCGAAAUAUCCGAUAAUAUGAAUGAGCGAAACUCCUUGAGCGCGGACGACCGUAGGUAACAUCUCGGCGGCGUAUUGGAAUCCAAUAUUGGCGGCAAUGUUGACUCCGAGUCGGGCGAAGAUCGCCAUAAUAACGAUCGUCAUUAGGAAAAUUGGCAGUGAGUUGGUGAGUCACACUAACCGGCGGGGGUGGCGAUUGCGACGAAUGAAAACAGGGCGCAAAGCACCAGGGACAGAAAACUCAUCCAUCUGCGACCCCAUCGGUCCAGUAGUACAGCGAGAAUUAUAGCAGCGGGAAGUUCGGUAAGAGCGGCCAGUGAGAAAGACAAAAACACGUCGGGAUCCAGAAGUUUCAUGUUCCACACAUGACCGUCGAACACGAUUAUCAUAAUUAGCCUGGAAUACAAACAACAAAUAAAUAAACACUGAAUUUACAUUUUGACAAUGAAUUAUGCAAAAUACCAGAUGCUUUAUGUUCGAUCACUUCGGUAUUUCUUUUCAUUGUAAAUUUUUACAUUCAAACCAGAAAAGAGACUCGGAUUUCUCGGUAUCGCGCGCAUAUCAUUAAAUGUAGAAUUUAUUAAUUUAACGAAUAACGUAGAAAAAUCCAAGUCCAUUCGAAUUCCUGGAGUCGCAGUUGAUUUUUCCAUUAACAGAAAUGAUUGUGAUCCGAUAAGGCAAUGACGCGUCGCCGCAAUAACGACAUCAAUCAAUCGCUCACCGCGAUGGCCUGUGGCACCCAAAAAAUAGCCUGUUUUCGACGAAUUGUAAAAUCAUGUAGCGCUCAUUAUCUUACCAAUAAAUAGUGAGCAUCACUGUAAUGCGAGCGAGUCGUGGUUUCUUGAACAGAUCGAGUACCGUGUAAUUAUUUUUCGACUGGUCUUUGAUUACUGUGUUACAGCUCUCUUUGAAUUCUUCGUAGAUUUCCGGUUUCACGGUUUUCUUAUUCACACGUUCGAAUUUCUUGAGCAUCUCGAUCGCUUUGUCCGUUUUACCUCUCGUUAUGUACCAUCUG